UACGUAGGUGGCGAGCGUUAUCCGGAUUUACUGGGUGUAAAGGGCGUGUAGGCGGGACUGCAAGUCAGAUGUGAAAAUUAUGGGCUCAACCCAUAACCUGCAUUUGAAACUGUAGUUCUUGAGUGAUGGAGAGGCAGGCGGAAUUCCGUGUGUAGCGGUGAAAUGCGUAGAUAUACGGAGGAACACCAGUGGCGAAGGCGGCCUGCUGGACAGCAACUGACGCUGAGGCGCGAAAGCGUGGGGAGCAA
This 248-nucleotide ribosomal RNA is filed under the name uncultured Muribaculaceae bacterium. RNAcentral's name for it is "partial 16S ribosomal RNA". It matches the Rfam family "Bacterial small subunit ribosomal RNA", at positions 524 to 771 of the family's 1533-position model. Lineage: Bacteria; Pseudomonadati; Bacteroidota; Bacteroidia; Bacteroidales; Muribaculaceae. The record is from RNAcentral.